This 67-nucleotide transfer RNA is filed under the name Rheocricotopus villiculus. Its description in RNAcentral is "tRNA-Ser". It matches the Rfam family "tRNA". Rfam says of the family: Transfer RNA (tRNA) molecules are approximately 80 nucleotides in length. Lineage: Eukaryota; Metazoa; Arthropoda; Insecta; Diptera; Chironomidae. The record is from RNAcentral.
AAUCAAUGAGCUUGAUUAAAGCGUAUGUUUUGAAAACAUAAGAUAAAAAUAUAAUUUUUAUUGAUUU